GCUAAGAAGAUAGGUAUAGAUCAAUUUAGUAGUGAUGAUGUUGAUGAAGCCAACGAGAAGAUCUAGAAAGACGAAUAAAUUUAUGGUGUAGGCCUAGAUUUAUUUUGGGACCUUAUAAAGUUUUUCCCUAGUAAUUUAGUUUUAUAUUUAUUUAUUUUUACUUUUUUCAAGUUAAUUAACUAUGGGUCAAAUAUUUAUCUUUGGUGUUAGGUUGAAGCUAA
This 221-nucleotide unclassified non-coding RNA is filed under the name Hevea brasiliensis (rubber tree). The record is from RNAcentral. Lineage: Eukaryota; Viridiplantae; Streptophyta; Magnoliopsida; Malpighiales; Euphorbiaceae.